Molecule: ribosomal RNA, 497 nt
Filed under: uncultured bacterium
Lineage: Bacteria
Description: partial 16S ribosomal RNA
Rfam family: Bacterial small subunit ribosomal RNA
Source: RNAcentral
GAUGAACGCUGGCGGCGUGCCUAAUACAUGCAAGUCGAGCGAACGGACGAGAAGCUUGCUUCUCUGAUGUUAGCGGCGGACGGGGGAGUAACACGUGGAUAACCUACCUAUAAGACUGGGAUAACUUCGGGAAACCGGAGCUAAUACCGGAUAAUAUCUUGAACCGCAUGGUUCAAAAGUGAAAGACGGUGUUGCUGUCACUUAUAGAUGGAUCCGCGCUGCAUUAGCUAGUUGGUAAGGUAACGGCUUACCAAGGCAACGAUGCAUAGCCGACCUGAGAGGGGGAUCGGCCACCCUGGAACGGGGACACGGCCCAGCUCCCUACGGGAGGAAGCAGAAGGGAAUCUUCGGCAAUGGGCGAAAGCCUGCCGGAGCAACGCCGCGUGAGUGAUGAAGGUCUUCGGAUCGUAAAACUCUGUUAUUAGGGAAGAACAUAUGUGUAAGUAACUGUGCACAUCUUGACGGUACCUAAUCAGAAAGCCACGGCUAACUACGUG